AAGAACCUCCUUGAUGGUUGAUCAAAUCUGAGACAGAGAGAGCCCUUGUUAGAAAACUACUGUGAGUGAUGUCCCUUGGAUAUGUAAGUCUUCUCUUGGAAAAUUAAGUGACUUGACAGGCAAUUUUCAAGGGCUAGUAGAGAAUGCAGUGACAGCAGCCAAUCAGGUUCUCAUAGAUGGUUUUUGAGCUAGGAAUCUAAACUAGUAGAUUGUGAGGGAACCUCAGUGACAAUCUAAGCCAAAAAAAAUGGAAUGGCUUGUUCAGGAACUCACUAUGAAGCAAACAGUAAAGUCUUCUACAUCCCAUUUAAGUGUUUCCCACCAUGCCUUGAAACUUAACAUCAAUACAUAGAACAUUGUCUUAAGUAUUCAAUGAACCAGCAGAGUGUUUAGAGGUUCAAUUAUGGCCUGCCCUUUAUUAUCUGGACCUGCUAAGCACAGAUCACUAUUUGAAGGAAGCCAUAAACCUAUGGCCAUCCCCGAAGCUCAGUUUCUUCCAGGGUUAAGAGGUUGGGAAGGGGGUUAUGAGAAAACUUUUUUGAGUUCAUGGGAGAUUAAAGAAGGAGGUAUCUGAAAUCGUUGAUAUAGGACUUAUUCAUAAAUGACUGGAGCAGUAACCUGGGUCAGAGUCUAUGGCACAGGAGGUAGGACAAGUAGACAAAAUAAAGGGAAAGAAAGGAAGCACAUCCCAAGAAUAUUGCUAGGGUCUAUACCCUUGUGUAUGAAAUCUUCUAGACUGAAUCAACAUCCAAAGGCAUGAUAAUUAAGGAGAAAUAAAGACAAUGCAAGCCAGGGAAGGAAUUCCAUAUUAUAUGCUGGAGUUGUAUAGACAGACUGAAGUCAUAACAAUAGUGUGAGACAUACUGGAUCAGAUUCCAUGUGCUGAUAAUAUACCAAACUCUCAUAUAAUAGCAAUUUCAGUGUAGGCUCAUAGGGUUCCAUAAAGCCAUUGUUAUUUUGUAGGUGACUCUGUAAAAACCUGGAAUAAAUGUCGAUAAACUUGGUUUACAUGAGGACCAUUAUUGCUCUAAAUAUGAAGCAUAUAAGCAACUAUAAACAGAGUGCCCAGUGGAAGGGUUGCACAGUAACAAAAUAACUGGUAGGUUGAGAUGGUUGCAUAAUUGAGUAUCACAUUCUGUUUAGAGAGAUCUGAGGCAUUCAUAAACAAGCAUAAGGCCAGACCAGUGGAACACUUCAGCAGCAUGGUAAAACAAAAACUUAAAAAGUAGAGUAAGGAAGACCUUGAAGACUAGUGUUUGGAGGUGUCCAUUGAGCAUGGAGUUCUAAAUACUGCUUUCCACACCAUAAGUUAGUUUGAAAAUCUGGCCACCCCUUUAGAUCAUGGGCCUUUGAGUAAAAGAGAGAGAAUGUGUGUGUUUGGAAAUGAAAUCCUGAAUAAAGUGUUAUGUUGAUAAUCAGUUGGAUUUGUUUUUGACAUUUGUUCCAAGACAGUUGAAAAAUUUGUUGCAUAGCUGUGAGCAUUAGAAUGUG
This 1491-nucleotide long non-coding RNA is filed under the name Marmota monax (woodchuck). The record is from RNAcentral. Lineage: Eukaryota; Metazoa; Chordata; Mammalia; Rodentia; Sciuridae.